CCUACGGGAGGCAGCAGUGGGGGAUAUUGCACAAUGGGGGGACCCCUGAUGCAGCGACGCCGCGUGGGUGAAGAAGCGCCUCGGCGCGUAAAGCCCUUUCAGCAGGGAAGAAAAUGACGGUACCUGAAGACGAAGCCCCGGCUAACUAAGUGCCAGCAGCCGCGGUAAUACGUAGGGGGGAAGCGUUAUUCGGAUUUAUGGGGUGUAAAGGGGGCGCAGUAGGCGAUGCAAGCCAGGGGUGAAAGCCCGGGGCCCAACCCCGGGACUGCUGUUGGAACUGCGUGGCUGGAGUGCAGGAGGGGCAGGCGGAAUUCCUGGUGUAGCGGUGAAAUGCGUAGAUAUCAGGAGGAACACCGGUGGCGAAGGCAGCCUGCUGGACUGCAACUGACGUUGAGGCCCGAAAGCGUGGGGAGCAAACAGGAUUAGAUACCCUGGUAGUC
This 440-nucleotide ribosomal RNA is filed under the name uncultured bacterium. Its description in RNAcentral is "partial 16S ribosomal RNA". It matches the Rfam family "Bacterial small subunit ribosomal RNA", at positions 338 to 795 of the family's 1533-position model. The record is from RNAcentral.